RNAcentral lists this ribosomal RNA (460 nucleotides) under uncultured bacterium. RNAcentral describes it as "partial 16S ribosomal RNA". It matches the Rfam family "Bacterial small subunit ribosomal RNA", at positions 338 to 795 of the family's 1533-position model. The record is from RNAcentral.
CCUACGGGAGGCUGCAGUGAGGAAUAUUGGUCAAUGGACGAGAGUCUGAACCAGCCAAGUAGCGUGAAGGAUGACUGCCCUAUGGGUUGUAAACUUCUUUUAUAUGGGAAUAAAAUGUUCCACGUGUGGGACUUUGUAUGUACCAUAUGAAUAAGGAUCGGCUAACUCCGUGCCAGCAGCCGCGGUAAUACGGAGGAUCCGGGCGUUAUCCGGAUUUAUUGGGUUUAAAGGGAGCGUAGAUGGGUUGUUAAGUCAGUUGUGAAAGUUUGCGGCUCAACCGUAAAAUUGCAAUUGAUACUGGCAGCCUUGAGUACAGUUGAGGUAGGCGGAAUUCGUGGUGUAGCGGUGAAAUGCUUAGAUAUCACGAAGAACUCCGAUUGCGAAGGCAGCUUACUAAGCUGCCACUGACAUUGAUGCUCGAAAGUGUGGGUAUCAAACAGGAUUAGAUACCCGAGUAGUC